CGCGCCCAUUGUGCGCUAUCGCACCUUCCAUCAUCGUUACGUUGAUCCGAGCUGUCAUGCUGACAUCGACAGGCAAAUAAUUGUGGGGACAUUGUUUGAGAAGAGUGAUAGGCAAAACACGUAGAACGUGAACAGACAGUUUAGCAUUUCUUUUUAUAAGUAAUUAGUUGAUAUAUUAUUCAAGUGAAUUUAUAUCCAAUCCUGUACUGAUUUAUUGUCAUGGUUAUAGCGAGCUAUUAAGAGCAGCCAGCGAAGUCACCAGAAUUAGCUAAUUUCUGACUCGCUGAAGGGUCUAAAAGUUGUUUACCCCCAAAGAAGUCGCCCGGGAUUCGAAUGCUAGAAACUCAUAAACGUAAGUAGUUACAACAUAACCUGAAGAAAAUGGGUGACCUAGUAAAAUCUGUAUUUCAGGAAGUUUUUAAUACUGUCUUCUUAAUAAAGCAUAUUGAAAAACUACGGAGCUCGACUUUAUUCGUUGUUAGAAACAACAACCUGUUUUCGCAAACUUUGUUCUUUAAAGUGCGUUUAUCCUUAUUUUCUCCCGCUGAUG
Long non-coding RNA from Aedes albopictus (Asian tiger mosquito), 550 nucleotides. RefSeq lists it as uncharacterized. The transcript is spliced from 3 exons. NCBI's taxonomy places the organism in Eukaryota, Metazoa, Arthropoda, Insecta, Diptera, Culicidae. The record is from RefSeq and is a predicted model, not a curated record.